Molecule: long non-coding RNA, 661 nt
Organism: Sinocyclocheilus anshuiensis
Lineage: Eukaryota; Metazoa; Chordata; Actinopteri; Cypriniformes; Cyprinidae
Exons: 2
Source: RefSeq, a predicted model, not a curated record
AAAAAAAGAAGAAGAGGAAACUGUCAUUUAAAAGACCCUAGGUUUGUCCUCGUCUGAAACGUGAGGGCAUCUUAUCUCAGCUGACAUGGGAAGAGAGUGCUGGUUUUGAUACUGAUAGAAGCUGAAGUUGGAGACAUAUAAGAGGCUUUGAGAGUCCCUCACGUGACAGAGGAAUGUCACAGCUGCGUGAGCCGUGUUUGUAUUAAUUAAUCAGCCCACAAAACCUCAAGUUCCCGCUCUUUUCAAUUCCUCUCUCUUUACGAAAAAGGGCUUGAGUUCUAAAAGUCAUACAGCACCUACAAGCUGAUAAAAGUCCUUUUAAAUUUUGAAUAUUAGAUUAUUUAAAUGUUAUAUUCAUGCCACAAUUAGAUUUUCCAUAAGGUUACAUUAUUCAUCACUCAUGUGUUAGUUGUCAACCGAUAUCUUGCAUUGCAAACAAGUCAGUCAAACUUAGACCUUUAGGGGCCGUUCACACAGAACAUCUUUGCAUUUAAAAACGUGAAAAGCAGGGCAGUGGAAGGAAAAAAAUCACAAGGUUUCGAGAUAUCUUUUAAAAGCUGAAAUCCCAUGAAAUGUAACUUUUGAUUUAUAAUGCUGUGCCAUGAGCAAUACACUGCAAAAGACGUGAAAAGAUCUAAAACCAUCUAGCACAUGUUUACAU